CCUACGGGUGGCAGCAGUGGGGGAUAUUGCACAAUGGGGGGAACCCUGAUGCAGCGACGCCGCGUGGGUGAAGGCGCGUUUCUGCGCGGAAAGCCCUAUCUGCAGGGAAGAAGAUGACGGUACCUGACCAUGAAGCCCCGUCUAACUACGUGCCGGCAGCCGCGGUAAUACGUAGGGGGCAAGCGUUAUCCGGAUUAACUGGGUGUAAAGGGGGCGCAGACGGCAAUGCAAGCCAGGAGUGAAAGCCCGGGGCUCAACCCCGGGACUGCUCUUGAAACUGGAUGGCUGGAGUACAGGCGCGGCAGGCGGAAUGCCUAGUGUAGCGGUGAAAUGCUUAGAUAUUAGGCGGAACACCGGUGGCGAAGGCAGCCUGCUGAACUGUGACUGACGUUGAGGCACGAAGGCGUGGGGAGCAAACAGGAUUAGAUACCCGUGUAGUC
This 440-nucleotide ribosomal RNA is filed under the name uncultured bacterium. Its description in RNAcentral is "partial 16S ribosomal RNA". It matches the Rfam family "Bacterial small subunit ribosomal RNA", at positions 338 to 795 of the family's 1533-position model. The record is from RNAcentral.